This 465-nucleotide ribosomal RNA is filed under the name uncultured bacterium. RNAcentral's name for it is "partial 16S ribosomal RNA". It matches the Rfam family "Bacterial small subunit ribosomal RNA", at positions 28 to 507 of the family's 1533-position model. The record is from RNAcentral.
GACGAACGCUGGCGGCGUGCUUAACACAUGCCAGUCGAACGGAAAGGCCCUGCUUGCAGGGUACUCGAGUGGCGAACGGGUGAGUAACACGUGGGUGAUCUGCCCUGCACUUCGGGAUAAGCCUGGGAAACUGGGUCUAAUACCGGAUAGGAGCCAUUUUUAGUGUGAUGGUUGGAAAGUUUUUUCGGUGUAGGAUGAGCUCGCGGCCUAUCAGCUUGUUGGUGGGGUAAUGGCCUACCAAGGCGGCGACGGGUAGCCGGCCUGAGAGGGUGGACGGCCACAUUGGGACUGAGAUACGGCCCAGACUCCUACGGGAGGCAGCAGUGGGGAAUAUUGCACAAUGGGCGCAAACCUGAUGCAGCGACGCCGCGUGGGGGAUGACGGCCUUCGGGUUGUAAACUCCUUUCGCUAGGGACGAAGCUUUUUGUGACGGUACCUAGAUAAGAAGCACCGGCUAACUACGUG